GAAGGUGAUCUAUCCAUGGCCAGGAUGAAGGUUGGGUAACACCAGCUGGAGGUCCGAACCGACUAGUGUUGCAAAACUAGCGGAUGAGCUGUGGAUGGGGGUGAAAGGCUAAUCAAACCUGGAAAUAGCUGGUUCUCCCCGAAAACUAUUUAGGUAGUGCGUCAUGUAUUGCUCCAGGGGGUAGAGCACUGUAAUGGUUGUAGGGGCCAUCGCGGCUUACUACGCCAUAGCAAACUCCGAAUACCUGGAAGUAUGAGCAUGGCAGACAGUCAUCGGGUGCUAACGUCCGGUGGCAAGAGGGAAACAACCCAGACCUACAGCUAAGGUCCCAAAGCAUGGCUAAGUGGGAAACGAAGUGGGAAGGCUAAAACAGUCAGGAUGUUGGCUUAGAAGCAGCCAUCAUUUAAAGAAAGCGUAAUAGCUCACUGAUCGAGUCGUCCUGCGCGGAAGAUGUAACGGGGCUAAGCCAUGCACCGAAGCUUAGGCUGCACACGCAAGUGUGCGGGGUAGGGGAGC
This 516-nucleotide ribosomal RNA is filed under the name uncultured bacterium. RNAcentral describes it as "bacterial LSU rRNA". It matches the Rfam family "Bacterial large subunit ribosomal RNA", at positions 721 to 1237 of the family's 2925-position model. The record is from RNAcentral.